AAAUUUGCCCUUUUCCAUUGGAUGACUCGGUCAUUUACUCUCCCUCUUUCUUCCGCUUCUUCACGUACUUCCCUCUUCCCACUCCGUCUCCUUCUCGCUUGCUUUAAUGGCCAAGAUCUCACAUCCGCCGCACAAGAAUUCCAUUUCUACCACCGCUAAUUCUCAGUCUUCUACAGUCCAUCACAGCCAGAAGAAGGUACUCAAGCGUACGCGUAAGUCCACUCCUCGAGAUGCUCCCGCUCAGCGUAGCUCUGUUUACCGCGGAGUCACCAGGCAUAGAUGGACGGGACGGUAUGAGGCGCAUUUGUGGGAUAAGAAUUGCUGGAAUGAAGGACAGAAUAAGAAAGGAAGACAAGUGUAUUUAGGUGCGUAUGAUGAUGAAGAAGCAGCGGCUCAUGCUUACGACCUUGCUGCGCUCAAGUACUGGGGAACUGAAAUUGUUCUCAACUUUCCACUAUUAACAUACCAAGACGAGCUUAAAGAAAUGGAAGGUCAAUCAAGAGAGGAGUAUAUUGGAUAUUUGAGAAGGAAGAGUAGCGGCUUUUCUCGCGGGGUUUCGAAGUACAGAGGUGUAGCAAGGCACCAUCAUAAUGGAAGAUGGGAAGCUCGAAUCGGCAGAGUGUUUGGCAACAAAUACCUUUACCUUGGAACAUACGCUACCCAAGAGGAAGCUGCCACAGCUUACGACAUGGCUGCCAUAGAAUACCGUGGCCUUAACGCCGUUACAAAUUUCGACCUCAGCCGUUACAUCAAAUGCCUCCGUCCGGAGGAACAAGAUAUCCCAAACAAUAAUAACCGUCCACCAAGCCCUAACGCCGGCAAAACGACUUCAGAAUUGGACCCCAAAUCCCUCCUUGAAUUCACCUUUCCGUCCCAAUGUUCGAGCUCCGACCAACCCAUCUCCACGCCACCACUGGGACCUGGCGGCGGUGACUCCUCCUCGUCGAAGGCGCUGGAGCUUCUACUCCAUUCCUCAAAAUUUAAAGAUAUAGUAGAAAGAAAACCCACCGCCGACCCUCCACAGACGCCGCCGGAAUCUGACCGGCCUCGCCGCUGUAUUCCCGACGACAUUCAAACUUACUUCGAUUGUACUCAAGAUUCCGACGACAUUGCCGAAGGCGACGACGGCAUUUUUGGGUAUCUAAAUUCGUUUUUACCUUCAUCAAUUUUUCACUACGCACUCGAUGCUUAAUUAGGUAGGAUCAAAAGAGGGGAUUGAGGAAUUUAACGUCCGACGAGAUCAGCACAAGAAAAUAACUUCGGCCAUGGCCAUGGCGGAUUACGAAUAUCGGGAACGGCGAUAAUGGAGGCGUGGCCUGAGGCAGCUCACUACUUAGGAAUUGAUUUCGUGUGGCCCGGGAUUGAUUUCAGACGGGUUCCCUGAGAACGAACAUGAAGAGAAAAGCCUCUGCAAACUUGUUUCAAAUUCAACACAAUUUAACACUCCACUACAAUGUGUGAGCAAAUGAACCUGAUCCCGUAUAUGAUAUUUUAUACUUAGACGUCCCUUCCCUUCCUGAUCAAGUUUGAAAUGAAAACAAAAAGCAUGUAAAUCAAUGCACAUAUUGUCCUAAAAAGAAUAAUUUGUUCC
Cucurbita pepo subsp. pepo (vegetable marrow) is the source of this 1591-nucleotide RNA transcript. It is a transcript of the gene named Integrase-type DNA-binding superfamily protein, with no coding region annotated. NCBI's taxonomy places the organism in Eukaryota, Viridiplantae, Streptophyta, Magnoliopsida, Cucurbitales, Cucurbitaceae. The record is from RefSeq and is a predicted model, not a curated record.